This 582-nucleotide ribosomal RNA is filed under the name Rhodotorula taiwanensis. RNAcentral's name for it is "partial large subunit ribosomal RNA". It matches the Rfam family "Eukaryotic large subunit ribosomal RNA", at positions 51 to 648 of the family's 3401-position model. Lineage: Eukaryota; Fungi; Basidiomycota; Microbotryomycetes; Sporidiobolales; Sporidiobolaceae. The record is from RNAcentral.
CGGAGGAAAAGAAACUAACAAGGAUUCCCCUAGUAGCGGCGAGCGAAGCGGGAAGAGCUCAAAUUUAUAAUCUGGCACCUUCGGUGUCCGAGUUGUAAUCUCUAGAAGUGUUUUCCGCGUUGGACCGCACACAAGUCUGUUGGAAUACAGCGGCAUAGUGGUGAGACCCCCGUAUAUGGUGCGGACGCCCAACGCUUUGUGAUACACUUUCGAAGAGUCGAGUUGUUUGGGAAUGCAGCUCAAAUUGGGUGGUAAAUUCCAUCUAAAGCUAAAUAUUGGCGAGAGACCGAUAGCGAACAAGUACCGUGAGGGAAAGAUGAAAAGCACUUUGGAAAGAGAGUUAACAGUACGUGAAAUUGUUGGAAGGGAAACGCUUGAAGUCAGACUUGCUUGCCGAGCAAUCGGUUUGCAGGCCAGCAUCAGGUUUCCGGGGUGGAUAAUGGUAGAGAGAAGGUAGCAGUUUCGGCUGUGUUAUAGCUCUCUGCUGGAUACACCUUGGGGGACUGGGGAACGCAGUGUGCCUUACGGCGGAUUUCUCGAGAUCUUCACACUUAGGAUGCUGGUGGAAUGGCUUUAAACGAC